Molecule: long non-coding RNA, 17022 nt
Filed under: Erythranthe guttata (spotted monkey flower)
Lineage: Eukaryota; Viridiplantae; Streptophyta; Magnoliopsida; Lamiales; Phrymaceae
Description: long non-coding RNA (EGUT_LNC001752)
Source: RNAcentral
GGUAAAAGAUCUUGGCCCGAGUUGGUUGGGGUACCUGGAAAUGUAGCUGUAGCAACAAUUGAGAGGGAGAACCCUUUGGUGAAUGCAAUUAUUUUGCCACCUGGAACUCUUCCGACCCUCGAUUUUCGAUGCGAUCGUGUGUGGGUGUAUGUCAACAGCAAUGGCAAUGUUACGAGGGUUCCUGUGAUUGGUUAAUUAUUGUUGUAUUAGGGUUUGAAUAUGAUUAAUAAAACAUCAUGUAUGUAUGUAUGGUGUGAAUAUUACGAAUAAAACUAUGAAUGGGUGUAUGAAUAUCUAGUACGUACUUCUGUACGAUCGUGUAUGCGUUUCAUAACGUGUUUUUAUGUCAAAUAAAUGUGGAAGAUGUUGUUGUUGUUGUUUCCUUCUUAAAUUCCUUGCUGUUCUUGGUUUAGUAAUAAGGAAACGUAGCUCAUAUAGCUUCGUUAUGGUCUAACUUCUUGUCAAUAUAUUUUUUUCACUCUGCUUUGUGAUGAGGUCAACAAUAAUGAUGUGGUUCGAUUCUAUGCUACGUCUCCAAUUCCUUUCUCGCAUUCUUAAUUUCUCGCGUGGGCAUUAUUUGUAUCACAAAAAGUUGUUAGGGCAACCGGUGCUUGGUUCUGACGAAAAUCUUUUAAGGCUCAAGUAAGGUCUAGAUGGUGAAAGAAUUCAGAGAAUUCAAAAAACUGCUCGAGAGUUAUAAAUUGCGUAGCUUUAGUUUUGAGGGUUAUGGGUAUUUCUAUGGAGAAAUGUAUUCUCAUGGAUUUAAGGCUCUUAACAUGGGUUAACUUGUGCCUUAACCAACUUGGAUUUAUAAUAUUAGCCUGAACCUACUUGGGCUUGGUUUGUAUGCUGUUAUGUGCUUGUCAAUAUAGACCUUUGGGCGUGGGCCCAUCAUAAGCUCCCCACUCUUUACGAGUCUCGAAUAGCUAGAAUUGGUUAGUCAUAUUUGGAAAAUUUGUGAUUUGGUUAGUCGAUUUGACGAUUCGUGGUGUAAAAAGUUAAAAGAAUUAAUAUUGAUGCGGUUGACAGCAGUAUUAUUAUAAUGACAGUAAUAUUAUUGUCAACCACAGUAAUAUUAUUGUGUUUACAGUAAUAUAACAGAGAGUAAUAUUAUUAUGUUGACCGGUCAAUAAAUCAAAAAAAAUAAAAAAGUCAAAAAAAAAAAUAAUAUUGAUGUGAUUGACAAUUAUAUUAUUUGGUUUACAGUAAUUGUACUGUCAACGUUCAACGACGGGCGGGAAAAAAAAGCGGAUAAAAAUUUUCGAAAAAAAGAGUCAACACCGGGAACCGACGGUAAAAAAAAAAAUUCAAAAACCAAAAAUUUGAAAAAAGAAAAAGUCAAAAUUAGAUUUUUGUGGUCAAAAUUGAUGAAAUUAAAAUUAAAUUGGGUUACAAUUAAGACGCAAAAUUGAGUUUAAAGGAUUGUGGAUGAUUUUGUCAUAUACAUUAAGAGGGUGUUUGGCUAAGCUUAUUUUAAACAACUGAUAAGCUCUUACGUCUGAUAAGAUGUUUUAAGAACUGAUAAGCUGUUACAUCUUAUUUUUAGGAUUAAUUUUUAGAGUGUUUGGAUAAUGGGCUUAUUUUCUAUUUUUACUCAUUAAAAGAUCUUAAAUAAAAAGGUGGGGUAGAGAUACUUUUUUAAAGGAGCUUUAAGAUAUGCAUCCCUAGUGGGAAAACUUAUUAGAUAAUACACCCAGUCUAUAAAAACAUUAGCCUCACAUCCUUUUGUGAAAUAAUGCCUAUAGUACCCUUACAGUCACAUUAACGCCGCUUAUUUUUAAUUUUGGAAAAAUAAAAUUAAAUCCCACCAAUCUCGCCAUUAGUAAUCUCUGAGAUUCUAUUUUCCCAAAUCCCACAUUAACCGUAUCAUAAUCCAACCCACUAUCCCCACUUCGCCCCCUCUUCGCCAGAUUAGGUUUUUUUUCUCCUUUCGUUCUCAUCUGCAAAUCGACGGCGAGCAACAUCAUAGAAUCCAGAAAAAAAAAAAACGAAUUGUCGGCGCCAUUAACGUUUACGGAUGUCUACGUCAAGAACCAGAUCAAGUAGGUUUUUAUUUUUGUUGAUUUUGUUUUGAAUGUUUUUUAUGGGGAAUUUACAAAGUCGAAUGAACAGGCCGGGGAGAUGCGUCUGAAGCGGCAGCACGACAUAACUGCACUAGACCCUGGUAUGAUUCAAAGCAUGUAUAUUUUUUUGUUUGAUGUUUUAUAUUUCUGCGGGUAUCUAUGGAUUCCACCGAAGAAAUCUAUGGGUUCGACCGAUUGAAAAUAUGCCCGUAAAUAUUUUCGUGACAAAAAAUUGCAAUCCGUUGUUGGUUAAUCGCUGUCUAUAUUUUGCUAUGUUUCAUGACUUGUGAGUGUCGUCAUAUAUUAUGUUGAGGAUUAGAUUUGUGUGAUUGUAGAUAGAUGGUGUAAAAAGCCUGUAUAUUUCUUUGAUUAAUUGUAAAAACGCAGCUUGAUUUCUAUGGUAGUCUAUGAAAUGAUAUGUGUUUCUAUAGUAUUCUAUAAAAAUAACAAUUGAAGAAAUGCUAUUAAAGUUAUGUGCAAGAGUGAUUCCCUCAUGUUGUACUGUCUUUUCUGAUGUUUAAUUAACAUUUGCUAUUAUAUGAUGUCUAUGUAAUUGAUAGGAUGGCCAAUCUUACUUAUGCGUAAGUUUUUUGCUAAUGAAUUGUGUAUUUAACUUCUAUAUAUAUUUGUAACUAUAAAUUGAUGAUGUAUUUUUAUGGGUGUCUAUGAUUGGGUACUGUGUUGUCUCUCCUAGUUUCUAUGGCAGUAUGUGAGUUGAUUGGGUACUACAAUAGUCUAUGGCGGCGUGACAACAAUAUAAAUUUUGGUACAAUUAUUUUGUUGUGAUGUUUUUUUUUUUUAGCAGAUCUAUGUUAUAGACCUAUGAAAUAGCGGUUAUUAUGUGAUUCUUUGUUUAAUUGAUAGUCUGAUCUAAGUGGCAUAUUUAAAAAAUAUUGCUAAUGAAUUGUGUAUGUUUAACUACAUGUAGUACUGUGGUAUACUAUGGAUACUGUGAUGUUCUAUGAUUUUGUGUUAAUUGCAAUAUUCCCAAUUUCUUAAUACAAAGAUACUGACCCUACAAUUACAUAGGAUAGGUACUUUUUAAUUUUCACCCAAACAUGUAACUUUGAUCACAACUAAAAUAUGGUUUGUUAUAUUCGCAGGAGAAGCCAUGAAUGUUGUGUGAAAAACGAGAAAUAAAGGUGGUUAUAGAGAUGAGAAACGACAUUAUAGAGGUGUGUCGCAGAAAUGAGAAAGGACAUUAUAGAACACCUUAUGAAUUACAAAAUCAAUUAGCCAUGGAGUAGUCUCAUUUAUUUUGUCUAUUGUACGCAAACGAAAACAUUUGUAGAAGUUAGGUUUUUCCGCUCUAUUUUGUAGUUGUGUUGAAAUAUUCAAAACAAGCUGCUGUUCAUUAACACAAUAUCUUAUCUAUAUAUGCCUUUUGGAAGGUAGAUUUGUUGAUUUUGUUUAUUUGGGAAUUGGAAUACCAUACAUUAUUGUGCAAAUGCAGGUAUUGAAAUGACACAAGGGCGAAUAUCGUAGUACUCACCAUACUAUAGUCUACUUUGGCAUACUAUGGAUUACUACAUAACUGUUAGAUGAACUCAUUAAAUGACAGUGCACCAAAACAAACUGUAUUGUAUCGUUCUAAUGUGUGGCCAUUGAUGCAAUGCUGUGAUUAUUAUGAUUUUAAUAAUAACUAAACAGUGCAAAUAGAUUAUCUGUAAAAACCAUAAACAUGCAUCAUAUUUUCACAAAAAACAAAACAAUUUACAAACGAGAAAGAACAGACAAACUUGAGGAAGAAUAAAUCGUGCAAGGUGUUGAAAAAUAACUAUUGAAAAAAUAAAUUUAAAAGGAAAACUAAGUUAAAACAAGUUAACACAUGAAAGUGAAACAAAACAUAACCCCGCCAAAAAAAGUUACAAUAAUGAGAAUGAAACAGUCCUGCCGACCCAUAAACCCAUAAAAUUCAGUUUGAUACAUUUGUAGAGUUUUGUUCGUUUGGUGUUUGGAAUAGCAUGCGUAAGGUUGACUAACCAAUUGGGGAUAAUUGUGUACAAAUGGUGUAACACCCCACCUUUCCACAAUCCGAAAACCCUAAAACCCGAGACUAAUAUUUCUAACUCGAGAACCCUUAGGUAAUAUUAUUACAUAUUAUUAAUUAUAUGCAUUACGAGAAUUUAAUUAUGUGAUUUACGUGAAUAAUUGCGUGCGCUAUUAUAUGUGUGAUUUAUAUGCUUUAAAUUUUCGUAAAUUGAAAUUCUAGGAAUUUCGUGAAUUACGUGACUUAUGAGAAUAAUUGCGUAUCUUGUCUAUUAGGUAAAUUAUUUAUAUAUGUUCGAAAUUGGUGAAUUAUGUGGAUUAUGUGUAUAUAUAUAUAUAUCUAUACGUGUAUACAUGCACAUGCAUAUACAUACCUAUACAUAUACUACUACAUGCAAUAUAUAUAUAUAUAUAUAUAUAUAUAUAUAUAUAUAUAUAUAUAUAUAUAUAUAUAUAUUUAAGCAUAUGACCGAAGAUAUGUGUGUGUGUGUCCGGAUUGUGUGUGUGUGGUGUUUAUGCAAGUGGAUUUAAUUAAAUUAGUACUAAACAUGAGAUUAGUAAGAUGAAGAGACACUCUUCAUCUUUUCCUUCCAACACCUAGCCAAAUUACUUGUCUUCUCCUCCCUUCCCCACCGAAGCCAUCACCGCCACCAUCGGCCCUCUUCUUCAUCCACCUCACCUCUCAUUUUCAAAGAAAAUCCCCAAAAAGAAAAUGAAAGUUCCCUAUUUAACACUUGCCAUAGACUAUUCCAAAAACACCAUCAAAACCACUUGCCUCCUUUCGAGAGAUCACAACUCAUCCCUGGUUGAAGCUCACACCAUUUCAUUCACAAUCAAGGUAGCUUGGAUGGAUUUCGGUGCUUGAAAGCCUCUCUUCCUUCGGUUGUUUUCUUUCUUCGAUUUUAAGGUAAGAAAUUUCGAUUUCUUGCUGCAAUUAAAUGGCAUCAAUAGUAUUAAAAUGGUUUUCAAAAUUUUUAAAAGAUUGGGAGUGAUUUCGAAAAUUUAGGGCUUUUUAGGGAAAAAUAGAAAAGAAGUGUUUCUUGUUAAUUUCUUGUUCUUGCAUGCAUCAUCUAUGUUGGUAGUGGGUAGAUACAACUUUUAUUGUCCAAAAGCAUUAAAAAUUUCGGAUUUCAAAAAGGGGUUUCAAGAAAAAUGAAUUUUUGAACUUUUAUGUGGAUGCAUGUGUAGAUCUUCAAAAGUUUUGGGUCAAAUCUGUAAUUUUUGAGAAGUCAGUCUUAAUUGUGUUUUCAAAACUGUUUUCCAGCAUUUAUUGAACAAAAAUUCGGAUUUAAAGAAGUUUUGUAAGAAAAGAGUAAUUUUUGAACUUCUAGUGGUCUUGCAUGUAUAGAUCUAGAGAUUUUGGGGUAAAAUAUGUAAUUUUCGAAAAUUCUGCAUAAAGUAACUUUUCAACUUCGAUUUCUGCAUCUAAUAGAGUAAAAUUUCAGAUUGUUAGGGGUUUUUUUUAUGAAAAAGUGGAUUUUGAACUUUUAGUGUGGUUGCAUGGGUAAAUCUUGAAACUUUUGGGUCAAAACUGCAAUUUCCGAAAAAUCUCUCAUUUCUUAAAUUUGAAUCUGUUUUCAGCAAGUACUAAAUAGGAAAAAGUUUAUUUACAAAGUUUUCAAAGUAAUUAGAGUUAUAUUAGAGUUUUGGAUUUUUUAAAAGAAAAAUGGAAAUUCCUCGAAUUUUAAUUUCAAGAAAAUUCGAAACUUUGUGAAAAUUUAAAAUAAUUUCAGAAUCUGAAAUUUGGGUCAGUUUGGAGUUCUAGGAUUUAAUGUGAGAAUUUUUGGAAUUAGUUUACUAUUAUUUCGAAAUUAGGACAAUUUGCAUGUCAUUUAAUAUGUUUUGUGCUUUAAUGUUUAUGUUUUUGAUUUAAUGGUUAUGAGUGAUGAGUUUUGGGAUUUUAUACUUUUAAUUUGCUGCUGGAUGUGGUUUAAUGGCCGUGAAAAUUUAUUGAAAUGGAUUAUUACCUAUAAGUGGUAAUAAGUUCAUUAAAUGAAAGGUGAAAAAGGGGUAAUUGCUUUUCAAGCAUGGUUUGAUGUUAAAUGAGGAUGUUUAAUGUGUUGACUGCAUGUGUGUGUGCUGAAUAUGUGUUAGUGUGUGUGUGCUGUUUGUGCAUGUGGUGUGUGCCGUGUGUGGUUGUGUGUUUAUAUGUGUGAAUUUGGGAUUUUUGCCCAAAUUAUAAAUAUGUGGUAAAUUGUGAUAUUUGUGUGAUUUUGUGGCACUUGAUUGAUAUUUUGUGAUGUUAUGUGUGGGUCAUAGCAUGAUUUCGAAAAGUUGCAUUAAAUGAUUUUUAAAUUGAAAGAUUAAUGGAAUAUCGGGUAAUAAACACCUCGGAUAUAGUGGGCCGGUAUCCAACUAGGAUGAUGUGGUUGUGGUUUGAUCCCACUUAGUGAAAACGGGCUCGUAACAGGUUUAUUACUCAGGUACAUAAAUUAAUCUUUCACGGAUCCGAUAAAACGAAAAUUUUGUUUUUUAUGAUUUUCACAAAAAAGGGGCAUUUUAGUCAUUUCGGAUAAGUACGUGAUUUUGUGUUAAUGAUGUGCUUUCGUUAUCGAUUGCCUUGUGUUGUUGUACGAAACGUGGGUAAGAAUGGGUAUAUAAUAUUAUAUAUUAUGUAUAACGUAUUUUCAAAGUUCGAUAUUUCACCGGAUUUCUUACUGAGCUUUAUAGCUCAUAUAGAUAGAUGUCUUUUAAUUGCAGGUAGUAGUAAUCCUCAACCAGGAUGGACCGAGUAGUGGAUCGAGGUCUUGCCCGAAAUUUUGGAAGACGUACGAGGACCUAUGAACGAUGCUAGAAACUUUUGGUUAUUUUCUUUUGGUGAUGUAAUAUUAAAACUAAAUACUUCCUUUUCGUACCUUUUAAACUCGUUAUCUAUAUGGAUCGUACCUAACUCCCACUAUAAUAUAGUAAGUUUCGUAAUUUGCUGUUUUCAUGCCUCCGUUAGUGAUUUUCGAAUUAUUCACCAAAAUCACCCUUCCCAAACUCUGAUUAUUUUUCGAACCAAAAAUCGAUGGUGAUACUGUAGCACUCGAACAAAAGACCUCCCCUCGAAACUUAUUUCCAAACGAAACCUUUGUUCGGCUAAAGUAACCUAAGAAAAGUUUUUUUCAAAAGUGCAAAGUUUUCAUUAUCCAAAGGAAGAUAUUUUUGAUAAUUGCAUUUUCGCCCCAUUCCAAUGUUUUAAAAAAUUUCAAAGAAAUCCUUAGCUUCCGCUAGUUUAAUAAAUAUUCUGAUAAACCGGUUCGAUUUAUCGCCCGACAAAAAGGGGGGUGCUACAAAUGGUAUUGAAUGUAAAAAUAUGGCCGCAUAUAAUAUUGUAAUGUACUAUAAAAACUUUAGAUAUGCGGACUUAGUGAUAAAGUGCACCAACACUGGCUGGAUUGCAUCUAUCUUAUGGUAAUUGUUGCAAUGUUGUCAUUACUGUGAUCCAAAUAUUAACUGUACAAUGCAAUGAGAUUCUAUGUAAAAAUCAUAAACAUAUAUGAUAUUUUCCGGAAAAUGUUUUGUCUGUGCACAAAUGUACUGUAUAGCAAACUCAAUUAUUGAAUUGCUCAAACAUAAAUCCUUAAAAGUAAAAUUAAAACAGAAAAAUAAUUUAAAUCAAAUGAAUCCCUGCAAAGUACGAAAACGGUGCGGACAAAAACAUAAAUCCAUGAAAGAAAGAACAAACAUUCGUCACAAAAAAAAAACCGACAAUGAAAUGACACAGUGCUGCCCAAAACAUAAAUCCAUGAAAAGAAACAAAAGAAAAUACUAAGUCUUUAGAUCAAUGCAAACUUGAAACAUCUAAACAAAAACUCAAACUCAAAACUACUGAAUAGCCCUUGUGUAUGUCUUUUUGUUGUGGGUUCCAACCCUCAUCCUCCUCGCUAUGCUCUCACCCCUAGAAGCAAUUCUUUUCGUCUUUGGUCUACCACGUUUCAGCUGGAACUCAGGUGGACCAAUGACAGCCAACGGCGGAUCCGCAAUAGGCCUAGCAAAUGGAAAACCAUAUUGUGUAUGUACAACUCAUUCCAUUUAGCCCUCACAUAACAGACAAGCAUGUUGAAAUUCAUAUCACCAGACACAUUCUUGAUGCCAAAACAUUCACCAAACCUCAUCACGAUCUUAACAGUUAUCGACAUUCUGAAAAUAAUGUGAAAAUAAAAAUCGAAUAUAAAUGAAUCUGCAAAUAAAUAUAUUAAUACAAUAAUUUACGUGAAAUCGUUGUUCCACUGUACAAUUAAAUUUUCAAAUUUAUAAGUGGGUCUUGUGCGAAAAAAAAACCAAAAAAAUAAGGGGUCUUAAGAUAUAAGUCCCUUUUUUUUUGAUAAUUAAAGAUAUAAGUCCCUGGUGACAAACCUUAUUAGAACUAAAUGACAACUCUAAUUAAAAUUUGCUUCACAUCCUCUAUGAAAUUUAUUCCGAAAAUGCCCCUCUACUCACAAAUUCGAAAUUACAGUAGAUUGUAAAUAUACUAUGAUGAACUAUGGUAUUAUUUAAUAUUUUUAAAUUUACAUAUAGCAUUUUUUUUCAUUACGUGUUUUUUAUUUUUCUUUUUUCAUUUUUCAUAUUUUUCAAUUAUAUAAAAAUCUAUUUUUCCACUUAUUUUCUACAUAAAUUGAAAAUUAUGGUUUUUUUAAUUUUUUUUCGUAGUAGACAUCUACAAAAACCCAUAGGAAACGUAGUAAUCCGUCACCCACAAACAUCUUGAAACCCUAGCCAUGAAACCCUAGCCGCCAGACACCGACACCCAAAGACACUCAUAGACAUCUGUAGACAUCCAAAUCGAAAAAUAUUAAAAUUUCCCCUCCAAACCCUAGAUCCGAUCCGCCGCCACCACCACCACCACCGCCACUACUCCCCCCUCUCCCUCCCCCACACCCAGACCCACCUCACGACUCAUCCGUAAUGGUUGCAAACAAAAACGAGCCUGCCAUCGUCUACCCAGUGUCACAAAGCCUCCAGAUGCAACUCCUACAUCAAGUGCCGCCAUAGUCGCUGCCAUAGCCGCCUCCAUAGCCACCGCCGCCGCCACCAUAACCACCUUCAGAGCCUCUAUACGUUACUACAAAAAAAGAGCUUUUAAAUAACGAAACAAUGGUAACAAUUGUAAAAUUUGUCACAAUAAGUAGUCUAUGGUAACGAAUUAUAAAUUUUGUCACGAAAAAAUCAUUGUUUUGUAACGCUACUAUAAUAUCGUUACCAAAAGAAGAAUUUCGUUACAAAAAAACCCAAUAUUUGGCGACAACCAAAUAUAUUGUUACAAAACCUUUAUUUUUGUUACGAAAAAAUAUUUUCUAGUGACAAUGAUAAACACUCGUUACAAAUGUGAUAAUGUUGUCACAAAAACUUGUUAUUCUUUUGUGACAAAUUUGAUCUAUUACAAUAACUUAAUGGAAUUGCCUUAGAUAGUUAUUAAUUAUUCAAAUAUACAAAUGCAUUUUAGAAUGGUGUUAAUUUUUAGAAUGUUACAACUAGGAGUGGAAAUCGGAACGAAAAUUUUUGAUUUCCGUCGAAUCCGAUCCUAAAAUUUCCGAUUUUGGAACGGUUUUAUCAAUUCCGAAUUUCGAAAUUUCGAAUUCCGAAAAUUCCGAAAAUUCCGAAAAAAAUCGGAUCGGAAUCGGAAAUACAUAUCGAAAUUUUGGAAUUUCCGAAUUCUGAUCCAAAAUUAGUUCCGAUUUUUCCGAUUUUUUUUUCCGAUAAUUUCCGAUGAUUAUUGAUAUUUAUAAAUUAUUAUAUUUAAAAGGUUCAAAAACAUGUAGUGAUAUACAAAACUUUGGAAUUCCAUGUAAAAACAAGGGUCCUCUAUGCUGUACGAAAGAAAAUAAAAGUUUUAUUGAGUGUAUGUGAAAAUAAGGUUACAGAAAACAAAGCAUGCUCAACAACUUAAAGUUACACAUAUUGAAAACAAUAUUCGCAAGCAAUCAACUUAAUUUGUGGCCAACGAAUCAUAGGUACGUUUAUUUUACAUUAUCCUAAUUCAACUUUUCUCUCGUGUAACAUAAAUUCAUAUAAAAUGUUUACAUGUAUAAUCUUCAACGUACAGAAAAUAAAAAAGAAAAUAUUAAAUUAACAAAUCCAAAUUGUAGAGCCACAUCGUGCACUGCACGCAUAAUAUUUUAUUCGAUUAUAUUAAUUUCACACGAGUGUCUCGCACGUGGACGUGGCUGGGUCCCACAUAGCCGGCAGCAGAUUUCAGUGUUCGUUUGUAUGUAUUAAGAUUUUUAAAACCGAAAUUAGUAUCCGUGAAAAAAUCCGAAUUAGAGAUGCUAAUCGUUAAUAAUAGACGUUAGUACUUUGAAGUCCAAGACCACAUAUUUGUCUUAAAGUUCGUUGCAUGUGAAUUUAAGGUAGAAUUAUAGAGACGCGGGUCGUAUUAUGUCGUUUCUUAUACGAUAAACAUUCUCGUGAUCUCAUUUUAUUAUUAUUUCAUUUCUUAGUCAAUUGAAAGAUUGUGACGUGUUGAACGUUUUCUUGCAGAGACGAUUGAAGAAGUAACGAAAAAUGUUAAAGAUUACAUUAAGGUACUUUUUUCACGUUUGAAUAGGAUGCUUCUAUAUCCUUUUCUUUUGUUUUAUUGAGGAAUUAAGUAUCAAGCUUUCUAUUUUGUCUUGAAACUGCUGAUUUUCAUUUUAAUUUAUAAUGCCAUGAAGAUAAUUAUUAUUUUCUUUCUCGUCAGUCUAUAAAACCGGAGCUCGUUGUGCAAGUAGAACCGAUUGUGGAUCCUUAUGGCCCCUGAAUUGUUGACGACAAUUUGGAGGCUAUUGUUGCCAGGUUUGUAAUACCUCUGUAAAAUCACACCUCGGCAAUAAUCUUCAUAUUUUCUUUGAUUAUUAUCUGAUUACCGAUCCACUUGGCGACUCCUUUUCCUGUGAUUAUAUUUACUUCCGUUCCGUUCUAUGUUCUAUAUCCACUAUAAUUGAAGAGAAAAAGAAAAGAGGGGGGAGGAGGACGUGAGAGAGAGAGAGAGAGAGAGAGAGAGAGAGAGAGAGAGAGAGAGAGAGAGAGAGAGAGAGAGAGAGAGAGAGAGAGAAACCAGAAAGUGAGAGGGAGAGGACGUGUUGAGCGGCGACUUUUAUUAGGUAUUGUAAGGGUAUUUUUGGGUUAUUUAAAAAUCAAAGGAUGUGUAUCAAUUUUUAUUUUGAAAUAGGGAUGUAGUUAAAAUAUUCUAUUUGAGUUUGUCACUUAUUUCUAUUUAAGUUUGGUUUGAGGGGUGUGGUGCAUAUUACCCCUAUUUAAAAAGAUCUUAUUUGCUCUCCAAGAACUUAUUUAAAAAAAAAUUAAGAUCUUACUCUAAAAAUUUACCAAACACUUUAGAAGAGCUUAUAAGCUCUAAAACAUCUUAUAAGCUCCUUUUAACAUCUUAUAAGCUUAGCCAAACACCCUCUAAGUUUGCCUUUAUAUAUGAUAUAUAUUAAAAUAAUGGACUCAUUGACGAAAAAGAAUAUAACCCCUGAAGUUAAAAUAAUAAAUGGUUGAUGAUGAACUUAUUCAUAAAAAUCCCUAAAAUUAAUAUUAUGGUCGGAGUUGCCCUAACCACCUAAUAUCUAAUCUAUAUGAAAUUACUUAAUAUUUUCUCAAACAAUAAUAUUUGUAAAUUCGAGUCCAUCAAGAAUAUAAUCUAUCGUAUUUACAAAGUACGUGGCCUUCACGUUAUCUCCUUGUUAACAACUUUUUAAGAGCAUCUCUCAUCGGUUUCACCAUUGUUUCACCAAAUAUUAUAUUUUGUGGUCGAAAAAUAGGUUCAUUUCUCACCGGUACACACCAUUUUAACCUUCUAUUUUAAAUGUAAUGGUGAUAUACAAAAUUUGUAUAGGAAGCUAAGAACACCUAAUUAGAUUAAAAAAAAUACCAGUAUAGUGACCGAUUGGAGAUACUCCAUGUGAUUGAGGUUCUAUAAAUUUGUUCAACUAUAUAUAUACAUAUACAUAUCAUUUUAAUUGAUCGCAUAUAAUUCAUUUACUAAUUUCCAGUCAAACAAUGCACGUUUUACGUAUAAAUGUGUACAAAACACACAUACCCGCAUUCACGUGCAAAAUGUGUUAAAUAGCAAUAUAGUUAAUAGAGGAGUUCAGAUAAAAAAGAUAUUUUACAAAACAGUUCACACAUUGUCCACAGAUGUAUAAAAGACUAAAAUACACCUCUUAUUUUAAUAUGCUCUAAUUUCAUCAUUUAAUUUAAUGUAAUCCCAAUUUGACCCCAAAAUAUUCAAUUUUGACCCAAAACUCAAGUUUGAGUACGAUUUCGUCCGUCACCGCCGUUGACUUUUUUUUUCUUUUUUUUUUUCUUUUCCCGACGGUCCCAGGCGUUGACUUUUCAUUUUUUUUAUCGCCUGAUUUUUCCGCCGGUUUCCGGCAUUGACUUUUUCAAAAAAAAAAUCAUUUUCUUCUUUCUGCCGCCAGUAUUCGGCUGCGUUGAUAUUUUUAUUUUAUUUUUUUAUUUUUGAAUUUUUUUUCUAUAACAUCUUUUUACCCUGUUUAAAUAUUAAUAUUGUUGUAGUUGACAGUCAUAUUAACUAUAUUGCUAUUUAACACAGUAAUAUUAACUGUUCUACAGUUUAACACAGUAAUAUUGCUACAUUAUUCUCUAGCACAGUAAUAUUAACACAAAAAAAUCACUAUUAUUCUAUAAAAGAGAAAUAUUAAUAUGUUGACCUUUCAACACAUACAGACAUAAUAAAAAACUUAAAGAAGUAAUAUUGAUGUGGUUGACAGUAAUAUUAUACUAUCAUCCACAGUAAUACUACUGUAACAAUAGUAAUAUUACCGUCAACCACAAUAAUAUGAUUGUGUUUACAGUAAUAUUACAAUAGUCGACAGUGAUAUUAUUAUGUUAAUCGGUGAACAAAUCAAACAAAAUAGAAAAACAAAAAAAAAUAUUGAUGUGGUUGACAGUAAUAUUAUUGUGUUUACAGUGAUUUUAACAUCAAUGACAGUAAUAUAAUUACAUUAACUUAUCAACAAAUCAAACAAAAUAGAAAUAAAAGCCAAAAAAAUGAUAAUAUUGUUAUAGUUGACAAAAAUUGUACUGUCGCUGUCAGUACAUAUAUGUAAAUGUACUGACAACGACAGUACAAUUACAUAAACGUACUGUUAGCGACAAUAUACUUACUGUGAAUAACAGUAUAAUUACUGUCCACGUUCAGCGGCGGUCGUAAAAAAAAAAGGAUAAAAAUUUUAGAGCAAAAAAAAUAAAUUACAAAAAGUCAAUGCCGUAGACCGACAACGGAAAAGACACAUAAAGAAAAGUUAAAAAAAAAAAGUCAAAAUUGAUUUUUUUGUGGUCAAAUUUUAUUAAAUUGAAGUUAAAUUAGGGUUACAAUUAGGAAUUUAGUUUAAAGGAUUGAGGGUAUUUUUGUCAUAUACAUGAGAUGUGCUUAUUCGCAAAAGAGAUAUACCCGAUAAACUUAGCUAAAAUAACAAAGAUGGUUGGUUAUGGACUUAUACACAAACCCCUAUAUAUAUAUUUUCAGUAUUCAUUUGUAUAAUUUUGACUUAAUUAACACAUAGUUUUGAAUAGUAGGUAUGUAAUGAAAUUAAGUGUCGUAGAUUUUUUGAUAGAUGAGAAAGAAGGGCAACUCAUCUUUUUCAUGUUAUACGUUUCAAUUUUAUACUUAAAUACUUUUCUGCCUCAAUAUAUGAAUAUCAGUCAAUAUUAUACACCACAAAAAUAUUGAAAUGAUUGUCUAUAAAUGCACACACAUAACUAAUAAUAAAUCAUCCAGCCAGUCACACACACAUAAGAAAGAAAAAAAGUACUUACGAAGAUGUCUACCGAAUGCAGAGGUAAUUAAUUACUUACUAAUUCUUUAGAUCGAGCAAAUAAUAAAAAAAAAAAGAUGAUCAUAUGAUUAUAAAGUAGAAUAAUGUCUUUUUAAUUUUGUUUUGUUGGCUAUAUGUAUAAAUAUUAUAUCUAUAUGUAGGUAAAAGAUCUUGGCCCGAGUUGGUCGGUGUACCUGGAAAUGCAGCUGCAGCAACAAUUGAGAGGGAGAACCGUUUGGUGAAUGCGAUUAUUGUACCACCUGGAAAUUCUGUUAUUACUGAUUUUCGAUGCGAUCGUGUGUGGGUGUUUGUCAAUGGCAAUGGCAAUGUUACGAGGGUUCCUUCUAUUGGUUAAUUAUUAUAUCCGGGUUUGAAUUAAUAAAACAUCAUGUAUGUAUGGUGUGAAUACUACCAAUAAAACUAUUAAUGGGUGUAUGAAUAUCUAGUACGUACUUUUGUACGAUCGUGUGUGCGUUUCAUAUCGUUUUUACAUCAAUAAAUGUGGAAGAUGUUUGUUCCUUUAUAAAUUCCUUGUUGUUAAAUCAAUGUUAAUUAAAUUGUUUGAAUCAAAUUAUCACAUGCUCCGGUGGAACUGGACCCGAGUUGUCGUAGUUGUUUUGAUCUAAAAACCCGUCCCAAUAACGUAGAAAAUGUUCGUUUAUUGAUAUUUACCCAGGAAAAAGUUACAAAAAGAAGCUUUGACGUUUUGAGCUAUUUAAGAAGAAAAAAGAAAAAAAGAUAGAGGGAAAAGAUAUUAUUAAUGGGCUAUAAAUCACUUCUAGGGAUAUACACAAAUAUUUUUAUAACAUAUAAAUAUUGUCUUGGUUUAGUAAUAAGGAAACGUAGCUAAUGGCUUCCUCAUGCUCUUAACAUUCUUGUCAAUAUAUUUUUUUUUUCAUUUUGCUUUGUGAUGAGAUCAACAAUAACGAUGUGGUUCAAAUUCUAUUCUACGUCUCGCAAUUCCUUUCUCGCAUUCUUAAUUUCUCGCGUGGUAUCACAAAAAGUCGUUAGAACACUGGGGCUUGGUCCUGACGAAAACCAAUUGAUGCUCAAGUUAGCUCAAGAUGGUAAAAGAAUUCAGAGAAUUCAAGAGUAGUAGCAUGCCAUUGACUGUUCAUGGUGUAAGCAACUUAGCGAUUGAUAAAAAUAGUCGUACGAUGUUUCACGAUGCCAUUGAAAAGUUGGCAGCUCGUGAGGCGGUGGGUUGCUCAACGAGAAGUAACAUGCCAUUGACAGGUAGGUAACUCGUUAAAAAGUGGGCGACUUAACGAUUAGUCGACAAGAUGGUUGACCGUUUGCCCUGCCAUUAGCAAGUAGGCAGCUUGUCAGGCCGUGGGCGGCUAAAAAAAAGACUAGAAAUGACGGUUGACGGCUCGCCAUGUCGUUGGCAAGUACAAAAAUAUAUAAACAUUGAUAAAUCUUAUUACUUCUAAAUGCAUUAAUUUGUCGAAGUUUGACUGUCUUAUUUGGAAAAAAAAAUAUAUAAAAAUAUAUAGUUUCAUAUUCACAAACUGUAAUUGUUAGUAACUUUGUUCCAUAUCUUCUCAUUUAUAACUUCUCCACAAGUUUUCAAAUUCAUGAAGAAAAAUUCUUUGAAAUGUUGAUUUUUUUUUCGUUUCGCAUUCAUGGCAAACGUUAGUUCAUUGUUAUGUUAUUUUCUUUACUAAUAUUACGGCCAAAGUUACCAUAACCAACUAGCAGGCUUAUGAGAUCCUAUACCUGGUGAAAUAUACUAUCUGGAUUUAAUCUGCAGAUGUACAUAAAUAACUACCUAUUAAACACAAAUAGUGGCAGAGCCACCCUUUGGUAAGGGUGGGCUCCAGCCCACGUGGAAUAUUGAUAUUUUGUACUAUAUAUAGCUUAUAUAUAUAUAUGGUUUAUUGUAUAAUUAGUCCAGCAAAAUAAUCUAAAUUAGCCCACCAACCAAAACCCAAAAUAUAUUCAUAAAAUUAAUGUUAUUUUGUAUAGUGAAGCAAUUGCUUGGAGACAUUUGAAGAGAAAAUCACCCUCUUUGUGUGAAUGAACCGGGAAAAAAAAAAUCGGGGGCACUACCCCUGAACACUCGUAAAUUCUAAGCCCACCCUGAUCGGGAUUUCUGGCUCCGCCACUAAACACAAAUACACAUUCCUAUCAAAAAGAAAAAAAAAAAAGAGAAAGAACACAAAUACACACAUGUGUUUUUAUGUGUGAAUCAAUAGAAUAAAAUUACAUCAUGUAUUUCACCAAGUGUCGGUUCUACAAAACCCUAAAUAUCACCAUAUAUUCGGAUAUAAAAGGAUUCAAAUGCAUAUGUAAUAUCAGUUUUUUUCAAUAUAUCAUUUUCAAAUAGUAAUAUUUGUAAAUUCGAAUAUUUCCAUCAAUAUAAUAUAGUAUGACUUUCAACGUAUUUCCAGUCAAAUAUGCAUGCACGUAUAAAUGUGUACAAAUAAACACACAUGCCCCUAACGUGUUAUAUUUCAAAAUUCAUUCGUAUAAGUUUGACUUAUCAUAUAGUUUUGAAUAGUACGUACACGCCAACUCAUCUUCCUAUGUGUUAUACGUUUAAAUUAUUAUCAUUAAUAUUUUUCAGCCUCAUAUAUUAUAUGAUCAGUCAAAUUUAUACUGCACAAAAAUAUUGAAAUAAUUGUCUAUAAAUUAACACAUAAGUAAUUAAUUAAUAAUCAUCAAGCCAAUCACAAAUACAAAGAAGAAAACCAACACACACACACACACACACACAACAAAAAGAAAAAUACUUACGAAGAUGUCUGACGAAUGCAAAGGUAAUUAAACACACAAGAUUGUUGCUAAAUUACUUACUAAUUUGUUUUGAUCGAGCAAAUUAAAUAAAACAAAAAGAUGAUCACAAUAACGUAAAAAUAAUGUGUUUUAAUUUAAGUUAAUGCAAUUUUUUGUUGGUUAUAUGUAUAUACAUUAUAUCUAUAUAUACAGGGAAAGAUUCCUGGCCUGAGCUGAUCGGGGUACCUGGAAAUGUCGCUGUAGCAACAAUUGAGACGGAGAACCCUCUUGUGAAUGCAAUUAUUGUACCACCUGGAAAUUUUGUUAUUACUAAUUUUCGAUGCGAUCGCGUGUGGGUGUUUGUCGACGACAAUGGCAAUGUUAAGGACGUUCCUUUAAUUGGUUAAUUAUUAUUAUAUUAGGAUUUGAUAAUCAAUAAAUCAUCCAGUAUGGUGUGAAACUACUAAUAAAACGUACGUUGUAAAUGCGUUUCAUAACGUUUUUAUGUC